Molecule: small nuclear RNA, 92 nt
Filed under: Medicago truncatula (barrel medic)
Lineage: Eukaryota; Viridiplantae; Streptophyta; Magnoliopsida; Fabales; Fabaceae
Source: RNAcentral
GUCCCUUCGAGGACGUCCGGAAAAAUUGGAACGAUACAGAGAAGAUUAGCAUGGCCCCUGAUAGAUAUUUUUAGCAAGUGCACUAAAUACUA